Oryza nivara is the source of this 206-nucleotide non-coding RNA. NCBI's taxonomy places the organism in Eukaryota, Viridiplantae, Streptophyta, Magnoliopsida, Poales, Poaceae. The record is from Rfam.
AAUAAGUGAUGUUUUGCAUUGUUCACGUCCAAUGUUUAACCGUUCGUCUUAUUUGAAAAAAAAUUAUGAUUAGAAUUUUUAUUGUUAUUAGAUGAUAAAAUAUGAAUAAUACUUUGUGUGACUAAUUUUUUAUAUUUUUUCCAUAGAAUUUUCAAAUAAUACGGAUGGUCAAACGUUGGACACGGAUAUCUACGACUGCACUUAUU